AACGAACGCUGGCGGCAUGCCUAACACAUGCAAGUCGAACGAGACCUUCGGGUCUAGUGGCGCACGGGUGCGUAACGCGUGGGAACCUGCCCUUAGGUUCGGAAUAACUCCCCGAAAGGGGUGCUAAUACCGGAUAAUGUCUUCGGACCAAAGAUUUAUCGCCUUUGGAUGGGCCCGCGUUGGAUUAGCUAGUUGGUAGGGUAAAAGCCUACCAAGGCGACGAUCCAUAGCUGGUCUGAGAGGAGGAUCAGCCACACUGGGACUGAGACACGGCCCAGACUCCUACGGGAGGCAGCAGUGGGGAAUAUUGGACAAUGGGCGAAAGCCUGAUCCAGCAAUGCCGCGUGAGUGAUGAAGGCCUUAGGGUUGUAAAGCUCUUUUACCCGGGAUGAUAAUGACAGUACCGGGAGAAUAAGCUCCGGCUAACUCCGCG
Molecule: ribosomal RNA, 433 nt
Filed under: uncultured bacterium
Lineage: Bacteria
Description: partial 16S ribosomal RNA
Rfam family: Bacterial small subunit ribosomal RNA
Source: RNAcentral